CUUGCUGCUUUGCUGACGAGUGGCGGACGGGUGAGUAAUGUCUGGGAAACUGCCUGAUGGAGGGGGAUAACUACUGGAAACGGUGGCUAAUACCGCAUAACGUCGCAAGACCAAAGAGGGGGACCUUCGGGCCUCUUGCCAUCAGAUGUGCCCAGAUGGGAUUAGCUUGUUGGUGAGGUAACGGCUCACCAAGGCGACUAUCCCUAGCUGGUCUGAGAGGAUGACCAGCCACACUGGAACUGAGACACGGUCCAGACUCCUACGGGAGGCAGCAGUGGGGAAUAUUGCACAAUGGGCGCAAGCCUGAUGCAGCCAUGCCGCGUGUAUGAAGAAGGCCUUCGGGUUGUAAAGUACUUUCAGCGGGGAGGAAGGUGUUGUGGUUAAUAACCGCAGCAAUUGACGUUACCCGCA
This 411-nucleotide ribosomal RNA is filed under the name Salmonella enterica. Its description in RNAcentral is "bacterial SSU rRNA". It matches the Rfam family "Bacterial small subunit ribosomal RNA", at positions 79 to 483 of the family's 1533-position model. Lineage: Bacteria; Pseudomonadati; Pseudomonadota; Gammaproteobacteria; Enterobacterales; Enterobacteriaceae. The record is from RNAcentral.